RNAcentral lists this ribosomal RNA (497 nucleotides) under uncultured bacterium. RNAcentral's name for it is "partial 16S ribosomal RNA". It matches the Rfam family "Bacterial small subunit ribosomal RNA", at positions 28 to 507 of the family's 1533-position model. The record is from RNAcentral.
GAUGAACGCUGGCGGCGUGCCUAAUACAUGCAAGUCGAGCGAACAGACGAGGAGCUUGCUCCUCUGACGUUAGCGGCGGACGGGUGCGUAACACGUGGAUAACCUACCUAUAAGACUGGGAUAACUUCGGGAAACCGGAGCUAAUACCGGAUAAUAUAUUGAACCUCGUUGUUCAAUAGUGAAAUACGGUUUUUCUUUCACUUAUAGAUGGAUCCGCGCCGCAUGAAUUAGUUGGCAGAGUAACGGCUUACCCAGGCAACGAUGCGUAGCCGACCUGAGAGGGAGAUUGGCCACCCGGGCACAGAGACAGGGUCGCGACUCCUGCAGGAGGCAGCGGUCGGGAAUCUUACGCAAUGGGCGAGAGCCUGACAGAGCAACGCCGCGUGAGUGAUGAAGGUCUACGGAUCGGAAAGCUCUGAUGUUAGGGAAGAAGAAAAGUGCAAGUAACUGGGCACGUCUUGACGGUACCGGGUGAAUAAGCCCCGGCUAACUACGUG